GAACUUGGUCCGUUGACAUCGUCUCUCGGUGUAAUCCACCCUUUGCAUUACCUUGAGGUCGACUCGGCUCUCGUCCUCCGCAUCACAUGAUCACUAACAUACUCUGAUGAGAUGCACAAUGCACAUGUAUGAACAUAAGGAAGAAUAACAUAAGAUAUUAUCAUGCUACGCAAUAGAGAAUUAAGUACGUAAUGGUGAGGCGUUGCAAUACUUAUGAGAGAACACUAGACAUCGACAUAGCAUUAAAUACAACAUCCACGCCCCUCUAGUUUAAUUGAACCGAACUCACAUAUCAAGAAACAUAUAAAUUAUAACAUGUUCUAUAUUUUUCAUAGCUAAAGCACGAUACAUAAAAGGCUAACACAAUUAGGUUCACCAAAAGCGGACCUCUAAAACUCAGAGUAUGGAUAGAAACAAGCUAAUCCGUUUCAACUAUUAUUUUCAGACGACUAUGCACAGCACGCCAACUAAAACCAGUUUGACGAUGCUACACGCUUUUAACAUUUGGACCAGCAGCUAACAUCUAGUUUAGACAUUUAACCGGCACUACCGGAAUUUGGCUCUUUGCCGAGUGUCAUAUUCUUUGCCGAGUGUUUUUUUUUCGGGCACUCGGCAAAGAAGCUCUUUGCCGAGUGUCACGCAAAAAACACUCUGUAAAAUAAAACACUCGGCAAAGAAGCUCUUUGCCGAAUAUUUUAUUUUUGACACUCGGCAAAGAGUUUCUUUGCCGAGUGUCUUUUUUUUGACACUCGGCAAAGGGCUCUUUGCCGAGUGCCACAAAUACAACACUCGGCAAAGAGCUCUUUGUCGAGUGUUCUUUCUCCAACACUAGGCAAAGACAAUUUAAAAAUCACAUUUUAAAGUAGUAAAUUAAUUCAAAUGAAAAAGUUUUCAACUACAAAUUUGUAUAACUCAUCAUGAUGUACAAUUUAUAUAUUGAACAUUUCUUCAUAUGACAAAAUAAAAAUAAAUUUGUUCAUAAAACCUAUAUCUCUCUCGAGAGUUUAUGAAACUAGAAGAGAGACGUAUAGAAAUUGUGUAUAUUGUUAGAACCAUCAUGUGAGAUCAACAAAUAAUCAAACAACCAAAAUAAACUUUGUAGAUCUUAAGAAGUUAUAGAAGUUUAUAGUUGACAACUUUUUCAUUUGAAGUCAUAUUGUCAAUGAAAACUACAUCUGAAUUUAAAAAUUUUAAAAUUUGAAUUUUGAAAACGACUUAGAAAGAAAAAACCACCAACAUGAAAGUUGUAGGUAUUGAAGAGUUAUGAAACUUUGUAGUUGACAAUGUUUUGGUUUGAAAUCAUCUUGUUAUGCAAAACUAUGUUUGAAUUUUGAAAUUUGAAUUUUUCAAACUGUCUCGGAUGGAAAAACCACCAAAAUAAAAGUUGUAGGUCUUGAAAUGUAAUGAAACUUUGUAGUUGACAAUUUUUUGAUUUGAAAUCAUCUUAUCAUUGAAAAAUUCGUGUGAAGUUUUCAAAUUUAAAAUCUAAAUUUUGUAAACGGACUCGGAUGUAGAAACUAUUAAAAUAAAACUUGUAGAUCUCAAAAAGUUAUGCAACUUUAUAGUUGGUCACAUUUUCAAAUGAACUCAUUUAGUGCCUUAAAUAAUCAAAUUACUCUCGAUUUGUUAUAGUACAUGGGGAAUGAAAACGUAAUAUGGACAUAAUUGAUGUAGUAGUGUAGUGGUAUAGGAGGGUAUACGCGAGAGAGAGGUUACGAGUUCGAAUCUCACCAUUUACAAAGUAUCUAAAUUUGAUUCAAAAUAAUAGUGAAAAAUGAUAGGGCAACGGAUAAGGUAUAGGUAGGAUUGAAGAGUUCUUCCUAGAAUUUAAAAAAAUGUUUUGCUGUUUUUUUUUUAAUUUUUUCGAUUCUUAAUUUGCCGAGUGUUUUUCUUUGCCGAGUGCUUUUUAACAUUCGGCAAAGUCUUUGCCGAAUGUCCGAAAAAAAACACUCGGCAAAGAACCCUUUGCCGAUGAAAUCUUUGCCGAGUGUUCUUUGCCGAGUGUUACACUCGGCAAAGGCUUUGCCGAGUGUAAAAUAGCCUUUGUCGAGUGUUUUAGACACUCGGCAAAGAACACGAUUCCGGUAGUGCGGUCGCUAAACGUAGUAGAUAACGACGACUAAAGUAGAGCAUUGACUUUAUUAUACAAACAAAAAUCACUUCAAAAUACCAACUCGCCACUGCUUCAAAGGUUAGAACAAGUCCACACAUCUAAGCUACCGACGAGAAUGAUCACGAUUAAUAUCCAUUCAAUCCAUUCAUUAAACUAAUUAGCAAGAGUAGCGAGCCAAAGUAUUAUUACCAAGCCAAUUAGAAAUCCGUGAACGCGACGACAACACCUGGCUCAUUUUUUUAUUUUUGUCGAACACCUGGCGGACGUUGCGGGACUUCGCUUGCUUUAUCAACACACACAAAUCGCCCCACACCGAAUGCAGUAGCAAGGUGAUGACGAGACGAACUGCAAGGCACAUCAACAUAUGACGUGGUUGCAAGGAUGACUUCGUGCCGAAGUGGUUCAAAACAAAGACGACGGUGCGGACCAGGGCUAUGCAGGUUUCAGGGCGUGCUGCUCGAUCACGUAAAGCUAUAGCAGAGUAGGGGGCAUGGCCAGUGCAGGGGACAAGCUGAAGCUCCGAGUAGGCGCUGGUGACACAGCGAGGAUGGAGACAACGACGGACGACACAGAGCUAGGUGGUGCGGACCACCAGAGCACCACGGCGAGGAAGGAGCAUGGCCGAUGAGUUUGGAGAAGAGGCAAACAGGAAUUUGUCAAGUGGGCGUGCUGGGCGCGGUGUUGUGUGCAAAUAGGGAAGCCGAGCACUAGAGGAAGGCCAAAGCAGCGAAGGCAACGACUAGGCGGACAACACGACGAGCAAGGAGCUGGGUGAGGCGAGCCCAUGGCGGCGCCCGCCGGAGGAUGAUGGCCGAAGUGCACUUGGGGAUGAGCAGUGAGAUGGGCUGGGAAGGCAUGGCUGCUUGGGGAGAUGGACGAGCGACACGUCUGGCGCAAAACCUGAUGGGGUGGAGGCCGAGCAAGGAAAGCAGAGGACGACGGCCAUGGAAGAGGGGCUCGGAUGCGAGACGGCUUCAGCAGCUUGAAUGAAGGACGAGAUCGGAAGGAGACGCACGGGAGGAGCUCAGCUCCUGGAUUUUGAGCUCACGUUUGGAGAGUCAGGCGUGGAAGGGGUAAGGGAGAGGAAGGAGGUGACCUAUGGGGAGUGAGAUCGUCCAAGAGCAGCGGCUGCUAUAAGAUCAAGGAGAGGGAGGCACGUGGUGGAGCAGGUCUGCAGGUGGCAUGCGGAGAUGUCCAUCGGCUGCUUGAGGAUAAGGAAAAUGAGAUUUUUCCCACAGAACCAAAGCGUGCAGGCAUUAAUGGAACCAAAACUUGAUAUUUUUCAGUAGUGAGAGGCCUUCAGCACCUAAACUCUAUACUUCAUCCAUAUCUCCACUCUACACGAUAAAACACAACAGUACAUUGAACUUGAUCCAAUGAAGUAGCAGGAACCAAACAGAUAAAAAGCUUCACCACACAUAGCUUUGAAUCCCUUCUUAACUUAGACAUCUUCAUUUGGUUCCACUCUGCCAGAAACUCCCAAGCCCAUCUCCAAUACAUCCCUACUAACACUUAUUCAUAUGACAACUUAAUCACAUAUGUAGAGUUCAGCAGGGUCCGAAGAUUCUUUUUCAGAUUGCCAAUUUCAACACUGGAUCACUGAAUCAGCCACCACUGCUUCAUUGCAACCUCCCAGUUCAGUCCCUGUUAACUCACCAUUCCCCAUGGCAAGAAGCCAAACUUACUUAGCAAAAGUUACACUCUAAACAUAGCUCUACAAGACUGUUGCAUCAGCCCAAGACCACAAGUGCAUAGAUCAAGAAUUAGAGUGCUCCAAAAUAUGAUGAAACACUGAAUUUCAGCAGCACUAACUGAAUAAUGUUUAGUGCACAAUUUGCCUGACAGCUCAUCUUGGAAGAACAUUUUCUCCCAAUUCUACACAGCAACAGAUCAACCUUGCUUAGCAAAAGUUACUCUCUAAAUAUAUUCCUAUCACUUUUGUAUAGCACCACAAGAUUGAAAACACACUGAUCAAACGUUAUGGUGCACCGAACAGAGCAAAAGAACUAAAAUACCCAGUUUCAGCUACUGAAACAGCACACACCAAUCCUGACAGAGGAAUUUGCAACACCAUUACCUCCAAAUCCUACAAAGUAUCAAGACCAAUUCUUUGUAUGAAACUUGUUCUCCUUCAUAUGGUCUUUCGUUUUUCUAUAGAAUUUCUAACCCAAUUCCCCAUAGAUUAAUUAGCACAAAGCCCCCAAGUUGGCUAAAACCACACAGAUUCAGACUUGGUUAUUACACUAAGUCUGAAUCCCCAACACCUGACAUUCCAACUUUGAGUACACUUUACUCCACUUUUUAUGCAGAACCUUACAAGUAUCAAAAUAAGGAACUUACUUACCAACAUAAGCUCUCCAGGUUUACUAUAGAAACUAUAGUCUAAAACCACUCAGAUCAAUCACAAAAUGGCUCCAAACAAGUCAUCCUUCACUGAACUUCAGAUUUCAGCAGCUGAAUAAAAAUGCAGUCAGUGCAAACCUGUCAGCUGAUUUUGGAACCAACUUUACUCCACUUUUUAUACAGGACCAAGCCAAACUUACUUAAGGAUACUUGUUCAACAUCAUAUGGGCUUCACUUACUCUAUAAACAUUGUAGCCCAAAGCUUCAUGUAUUGGCCACAAACAAGCUCCAAAAACAGCCAAAAUACUGAAACGUCAGACUUAACCUACUGUUCUCAAUCUGAAAAUGCAGAAACCUGGCAGCCCCACUUUGGAUCCCUUUUUCUCAUAAUUUCAUAUAGUUUUAAGGCUAUAAUACUUAAUAAAAGUUGUUCUCCUAUAGUUACUCUACAAGUUUGUUAUAGCAACUGUUUCCAAAAUACUCAUGGAUUAAAUGUUAGAGGGAUCCAAAAACAGAUAAACAAAACUGUUUUGGGCUGAUUCCAACGGACUCAAAUCUGAACUUUUGCAAAUUACUUCAAAUUCUCCCAUAUCACUUGGAGAGCUCCAAAUAUGAAAAUUGUUCACUUUUUCAAGCUCCACAACUUUGAUAUAUGGACUUUUGACAAAUUCUCAAUGGAUUUUAAAUUCCACUUUUGGGACUAAUUUAGAGUUUCAAAUGUGACUACGAUUUCUCCAAACCACCUCUCAACUUUGAUCCACCACUAAAAGCAAAGUUACUCAUUAAUCUAAGAUCCAACUUUGGUACUAAGAACUCAUGCCCAAAAAGGCCCUUAUUUUUGGAGUUGCUUUGUUUAUGCACCAUUUCACUCUUGGGCUCAAUUUAGGGUUUUGAUGUCGAUCCCUCUCCUCAAGCGAUCCUUCCACUUGAUUUACACUUCAAAGGUAAAGUUACUCUAGGUUCUAAGUUUACCUUCAGUACUUAAGACUCCAAGUCAAUUUGUCACUCGCCUAAGAGAUGAUUCUCACCUACUUAGCUCAAGCAAAGCCCUAAUACUAAGCCCUACACUCAAUACAAAACAUCCCAAUUUUGCAAGUUGUUGACCUAGUGAAUGCAUUCUAGGGAUAUCAAGCAAUAUGAUGCGGAUGCAUAUGAUGUCAUGCCAAAGUUUUAGUUCUCGUAACACCAGGGGUGUUACAUGGAGGCUGCCGGACUCAACGAGGAUGAAAUGGCGCUCAUCAUUAAGAGCUUCAAGACCGCCUUGAAAGGACGCAAGGAGUAUCUCAACAAGAAUAAAUCAAAGGGAAAGCACUCCUGCUUCAAAUGUGGUAAGUCUGGUCAUUUCAUAGCACAAUAUCCCGAUAAUAACAAUGACCAGGCACAAGAAAAGCAUGGGAAGAAGGAAAGGAAGAAGAACUACUUGAAGGCGAAGGGCGAGACGCAUAUUGGAAAAGAGUGGGACUCCGACUGUUCUUCAUCCGACUCCGAUGAUGAAGGACUAGCUACCUUGGCCUUCAACAAGUCUUAACUCUUCCCCAACGAAUGACACACGUGCCUCAUGGCUAAGGAGAAAAAGGUACGUAUUCGAGAUACUCUUAAAUAUUCUUCUUCUAGCAAUGAGGGAUCUUCUGAUGAUAAGAUAGAUUAUAGUGAUUUAUUUAAAGGAUUAGAUAGAUCUAAGGUAGAAAAGAUAAAUGAAUUAAUUGAUGCUCUUAAUGAAAAAGAUAAACUUCUAGAAAAGCAAGAAGAUAUACUCUAUGGGGAACAUGAUAAGUUUAUUAGUGUUCAAAAAUCACUUGCUCUAGAAAUUAAGAAGAAUGAAUUGUUGUCUUCCGAAUUAUCUACUUGUCAUGAAUCUAUCUCUAGCCUAAAGAAUUUAAAUGAUGAUUUAAAUGCUAAGUUAGAAGAAGCAAAUUCUGCUAGUUCAUCCAUAGAGCAUGUUGUUAUUUGCAAUAGGUGCAAAGAUUUUAACAUUGAUGCUUGUAAAGAACAUGCCUCUACCAUUCAGAAAUUAAACAAUGAUGUUGCAAGUCUUAAUGCUAAAAUUAAGACUUGCAAAGAUAGUUACCCUUCGGCUGAACUAGGUUUAAAAAAGAGUCCUCGUGCUUUAUUUAAAUCAACCUGCAGUCCCCUCAUAUUCAAAAAUUAUCAUAAGUAGGUCAUGUUAUUUAUAAAAUCACCCCAAGCUUCUAGAAAAUUAUGUCCGCCAUCCGAAUUUUUAUUUAAUUAAAUAAAUAAUUUUAGAAAUAGCUUAAUAAUCAUUUGUAAGUGUUAAAAUAAUUUAAAAAUCUUAGAUAAUUCAUAUCUUCUCCAUCUUAACUCUGAUUUCAGUGGUUCUCGAACCUAUUAAUUCAUUGCGACCUAUAGUUGUUUUAUUACUUGGUGUAAUGUUAAUUUUUGCCUAUGCACUGUUUGUUUGUAUUGUUGCGAGUAGACGAGCAUGUGACCAAGGAGCCCGAAGCACCGUAAGUUGAGGAAUCUGAGCAGGAGCUCAUAGAAGGCAAGUUAUGUCCUUGAUCACAUUCUUUGACCUAAUAAUGUUCAUGAUUCUGAUAAUCAUCGUGGCAUUGUUAGGCUUAAUCUGAUGGGACCUAAUAGGUUACCUAGUUUUGUUUACCUUACACCUUGCAUACAAAUGAAUUAUUGCGUUGUCUUGUUGUUUCUUUACCUGGUUUUGGGAUUAAUGCUAUAUAUGAUUUAUGAUCAGGCUCCAUUAUGAUUUAUUAUUGCUAGAUAUCUAUGCAUGUUAAGAUUAUUUUGUUUAAUUGGAACAUGGAGCGACCACCCGAGAUAACAUUGCUACCACAAGGGCGGAAUGUGACUUCUUUGGCUGAAUAAUUAGGGAUGCUAGUAAGGGAUUACCUUGCCUGAAAGGGGCAAGCGAGGAGGAGUUGCCGCAAGUAUAGGGAGGUUUUGGGUCUAACUUUCUGUGAUAGCUUUUCGGACGAGAGAUUCCUAUACCCCUUUGCUUGAAACCAUAGCGGGUUUUCUCGAGCUAGUGGAACUUUGUAAACGCCUCAUAGUGAACCCUCGCUAACUUACCUUGGAAGUGUUUAAGGGCCCGUACAACCCCGGAUAAAAAGGAAACACGACUUGUGGGUAAAGAUAUGCAACCUCCAUAGAUUACAAAACUGGUAUAUCAGCCAUGCUCACGGUUAGGACUGUGCAAAAAUACCCGAGACCAAAAACCGAACCCGAUGAGACUGAACCCUAAACCGAACAGAGGUUACACAUAUUUUAAAUGGUUGUGUAAAAAGGGGGAGAAAUUUUUUUUUGUAUUCAUUGUGGGGGAUUUUGACACACAUAUUGCACAACAUUGCAGAUUUAUCUUAUUUUUAGGGGAGAUUUUGAUUUUGAUCUUUUCAUGAUCUUUUUUACUUUGCUUUUGGCUUUUAAUCAAAAUAUUUUUUUGAAAGGGGAGAUUGUGAAACCGUGUGUGACGAAAGCAUUGUUUUAGUUGACAUUAGAACAUUGUACUAAUUUAUUAUUGUCAUCAUAAAGUGAUUUACAUGCUUUUGAACGUAAUUCAUGCGUACAAAUAUGUGGCUUUCAUUAAUGUUUAAUUAUGCAUGUGUAUUAAGAUGUGUUUUGAUAUUAAUUUAACACACUCAGUGGAGUGAUGUUGCAUGAAUUAACCUUGAGUCAAGUCACAGACUUGUGCUCGUACACAGUUGCGUGUGUUAUUCAUGUGCAGGUAUUGCUUGAGGUAGAACAUGAUUGGUGAUGUGUUGAAACUAAGUUCAGGAGGAACUAAGGUUUUGGGACUAAGUUUAGUGAGGAACUGAGGUCCUAUUUAGCUAAGGUAUCAUGCGGGCAUUCGAGCUUGAAAACGGUGCAAAUGAAGAUGGACGUUGUAUUGGAGACGCAACGUGGUGUAUGACCGCAGUACAUGAGGACAUGGAUGUUUAGAAACGUGAGUGGAUCUAAUUAGUGUGUGGUAUGCAUGCUAGCAUAUGUAGACCAUAUGUUUGGUUGCCAUAUAAGUUGAGCCAGGCCUACAUGGGUCUAGCCAGUAUUAGUACAACCAAGGUGAGUUCAUGGAGGACAGUGGCGGAGGGCGCUCAAAAUCAAUGUAUUGCUAACGCAACGCCAAAUGAAAAUUCAUGACAUAUUUUAAUAUAAUUUAUAGCUACAAAAUACUUCCUCCAUUCCAAAAUAUAAUUCGUUUUAGACUAAAAAUACAUUUAUUCAUUAACUUAUGAAUGUAGUUUGUAUGUAUGUCUAUAUUCAUUAUCAUUCAAUCGAAUGUGGAUAGAGAAAAAGAGAGUUAGAAAGAACUACACUUUGAAAGUGAGGGAGUAAGUGAUAGAUAUAAAAAACACCUUAUUCAAUAGUUAUUGUGAUCAUAAUUCAUUUACAACCAAAUGUCAUAUAGCAAAUAAAAUCUAAAAAAUAAAAAAAUAAAUUAAUAGUGGUAAAUUGAAGUAAAAACUGUUAAACGUGUGAAAUAAGAACAUACCCCUAGUUGCGCAUAAUAAAGAGAGAUACUUUUUUGGGCAGUCUUCUUUCACUUGUUUUUAUUUCCAUCUAUGUAUACUGAUGUUUGGAAUAGGAACCAAAAUAGAUCUACACAUUGACAAAUAAAUCGGAUUAAAUAUCUUUGUCGCAACCAGUCCAGAAUCCCUAGAUGCCAGAUCCAGUUGAAUCCUUACACAAGCAGACAAUGAAACAAGCUUCACCUAAGUCCUCAAUUGUGCACCCGACGCUAGAGCACCGCACGCUGCUGCUACCUGGGAGGGAAGCUGGGACCGUGGGACGAGCAAGCAGGGGCGAGCGAGCCGACGAGGGACUAGCCGCGCUGCCAUGGGUGGCCUGGCGGAGUGGCGGGGGCGGGGCGGCGACUUGGGCGGCGCUAGGCAGGUGGAGACGGCCACCGUGCCACUGCUCUGACUCGGACCAUGGUGGACGAGUCGGCCGGUGACCAUAGGGGGGCGGGCUCCGCGCGACAGUGGCCGAGGCUGUGGGCCACGCAGGUCUCACACAGGCGCAGGGUCGAAGGUCGGAGCGUGGAGGUGGCUUGCGUAGGCUGGACGCCUGGGGGCUGGCCCAAAGUAGGCAAUACUGAUACUGGAGCUUUUUG
This 9536-nucleotide long non-coding RNA is filed under the name Zea mays. RNAcentral describes it as "long non-coding RNA (ZMAY_LNC003584)". The record is from RNAcentral. Lineage: Eukaryota; Viridiplantae; Streptophyta; Magnoliopsida; Poales; Poaceae.